This 2860-nucleotide long non-coding RNA is filed under the name Varroa destructor (honeybee mite). RNAcentral describes it as "uncharacterized LOC111255623, transcript variant X1". Lineage: Eukaryota; Metazoa; Arthropoda; Arachnida; Mesostigmata; Varroidae. The record is from RNAcentral.
UGUGCCUGUCUGCCCAUGUUCGUGGGAGAGUAUGUGAGCCUUCCUGCUGUAUGCAUGGCUUCCUCUCAGUGUCACUGUAAACUGACGUGAGCGAGCGGUACUGGUCAGCAAGUCUCUAUGUGUAUGUGUGACUUCGAUUCGGCUGCCUUCUGUCGGUCGAUCCGCUCGGUUCCCCCCAGAUGCCUGUGACGAACGCUUGUGUGACCACGAAAAACUGUAGUACGUUUACUUACGGUAUUAUUGUUUUCGAUACCUGCCUCCGUAGAGAGAAUCGCGGGAUGCCGUCCAGCCCCGUUAACUAAUGAAAAAAGAGCACGUGUAUAACUGGAAAGCUUUAACGCGAGAUGUUCUUCAUUGGCACGCUAGCCGCAGAAAAGUGGGUCACUGAGACCAGGAAAUGGAGAAGGAGGCGGUAGCGAGGUGAACGUUCGAGCAAGGACAAACUCACAAACCCAAACGCGUCGUCUGCUGUUGAACAAGAAGCGAUGGCGCAGUGAGGAACCGUGCCUGCCUAAGAGAAUUGUCCUGCAGAAAAGUGAGAGAUGGCCUAACAAGGCCAGGUCGCGAAUAAACUGGAACGGAUUUAUUAAAUCACUAUGUUCGUUGUUGAUUACAUAAGAAAUUCGUAAGGUAAGUGAAUUCUAUUGUGCCUAAUAUUUCGAUUCUAGCACUUGGUAUUAUAUCAACAGACGAGCAGUUCUGCAGAGGAAAAUAGUAAAUUUUGCUGACGGAAGCUAAAACGCAAAGACUAAAUAGUAUGUCACAGGUCACAGCCAACCAUCGUCGAAUAACGGACGGAUCAGUUCAGGACGCCAAUUCUUCAAGUUGUACGGGCUAAAGGGCAUUGGAUACUGUACUCUUUUAGCCUCUGUCUUCAAGUUUAUAACAACAUCACUAUUUUGAUUCUCUAUUUUUUAGCUAACAACAAUGUUGGGAUAACUUGUCAUCUUCAAGACGCUCCACACCCUUGUCUCAAUCUACCAGAUGAAGACCUCCUUGACGAGUUUCUCCGAACUUCAACAUGCCUUCAAGAAAUGUUAUUAUUCUCUAUUAUGCAGAUAUGCGAUACUAUACUGUUGAUCGUUUACCAGUACAUUCUCCUUUAUAGCGACAAUGAUCUUUCUCGUUACUCGCAGAGAAGACUGUAUUUCGGCGAAUUUAUCUAAGCAUCUUUUUUUUCCAGGACAGUCUAGUGUUAAGAUUCUUCUAUCACCGUUGUACAGGGAGCGCGCCAUACGUAGCAGUGUCAGCGCUUUGCUCUCAGUUUUUAACUACGGAUCUCACUGUCACCUACGUUCCCGUCAUUAUUACGCCAUAGUAUGCGCCGACCGUACGGAGAGUUACCAGAAGUGAUAUUAUUGUAUAAGUAGAACUACUACCAUGGGCAGCCUCGCUGCCAUCACGUCGUGCUCUUUUAGCUUCUGACGGCGUGAGGGACCGCCGCUAUUACUACUACAACUAGUACAUCCGCGCGCGCAGUUAUGGCCGGUAGAUAAUGGCGUUUAGGACGCGGGGCUUAACAGUAGAGUCGACGAGGGCCAUGCCCCAUGCGACUGUGUUGUAUUUUGCGACCAACAGAAUAAAAUAAUAAGAGAAGGAGAAGGAGGAGGGGGAGCAGGAGCAUGGCUGGGGAGGAGGGAGGGAAGAGAAGAGGUCGAUUUGCCGAGCAGGCAAACGCUGAUUCUGCCGUAGCUGACCUGGAUUCAGAGGGCAUCGACUCCCCGACCUGACCUCGACCACUGCUGCAACAACCAUCGCAUCAUUGACAAUCGUUUCAACCACUGCUGAACCACACAACGACCACCACUAAAAACCAACACUGUUUACUACCGUUACCGCCGUCGUCGCCAAUACCGAGCCGGCAAAGCGCCUCUCGCGUCAGCAGCAGCUGCAAAGAACGACUAAACGCAGAGCGCGCGCCGCUCGCAAGGGGCAGACAGACAACUACGGAGAGUUGUAGAGACACAGCAGCCAUAGAGAGUUAGUUGCGUUUGCAACAACAACAACAACAGUAGCGGCGGCCGCGUAAGGAGGCCAUCCGCUCUCGACCCAUUUCGGGUUCGUUCACUUCCGAUCCUCCAGUAGCCUGCAUAGUAACAGGAUUGGGGUAAAGCGCAACGUCAAAACUGCGUUUGACUUUGUGAGGCCAGUACAACCAUAUGCUUACCUAUUCAGCGCCUACAGAUCUUUGACUCUACACCAAGACUGUCCAGACUUAAAUGGCGACCUUUGCUGAUGAGAUAUUAUUGGCCUGUGGGGCCAUGUCAAUCCUGAAAUAAUCCCAAGUUCACGGGGCGAGAGUUUUCGCGCAGCAAUGCAUCAUUUAUCGCCUAAUAUCAAUCAUAGUUUCUCGGCAAAGGCCUGUUUACUAAGUGCAUUAAUCUUCAAAGCUUAAUUCGAUGAUGAAAACAAUAUUACCAUUAAUAUGAUAUGCUACGCUGGAAAACGCACGCGGUAGCAAAACUCAAAUGCAUGAAAUCCUGUGUUUUUGAGAUCUCUUGUAUUCGCGUGAAACAAAUUCGCUUUAUAGAGUAUAGAAGAACACUAUGAAUGUAACAGAUGUCAGGUCGCCCCGAUAUGCUGAAGUUAAUCGCGUCCAACUUCCAAUGUCCUAAUAACGAUGCACUAUCGAACAGCGUCCGAAAAAGAUGGUAAAGGCAUAUUAAGUUGUUAUGAACAUGCACCUAUACAAGGCGUUUAAAGGAUGUAAUAAGACUUAAAGACUGUCGCCACAAAAACCCGAAGGUAAAAUCUUCUUGUCAAAACAGUAUAUUGAAGCAGAACUAUUGAAAAAGCUGAAUACCUAAACGAUAUGUACAUAAAAAGCAAUAAAACGGCGUGUGCCAUUCGAUCAAACUGA